UAGGGAAUCUUCCACAAUGGACGCAAGUCUGAUGGAGCAACGCCGCGUGAGUGAAGAAGGUUUUCGGAUCGUAAAGCUCUGUUGUUGGUGAAGAAGGAUAGAGGUAGUAACUGGCCUUUAUUUGACGGUAAUCAACCAGAAGGUCACGGCUAACUACGUGCCAGCAGCCGCGGUAAUACGUAGGUGGCAAGCGUUGUCCGGAUUUAUUGGGCGUAAAGCGAGCGCAGGCGGAAGAAUAAGUCUGAUGUGAAAGCCCUCGGCUUAACCGAGGAACUGCAUCGGAAACUGUUUUUCUUGAGAGCAGAAGAGGAGAGUGGAAUUCCAUGUGUAGCGGUGGAAUGCGUAGAUAUAUGGAAGAACACCAGUGGCGAAGGCGACUCUCUGGUCUGCAACUGACGCUGAGGCUCGAAAGCAUGGGUAGCGAACAGG
Molecule: ribosomal RNA, 429 nt
Filed under: bacterium
Lineage: Bacteria
Description: partial 16S ribosomal RNA
Rfam family: Bacterial small subunit ribosomal RNA
Source: RNAcentral